RNAcentral lists this ribosomal RNA (600 nucleotides) under Micromonospora sp. C413-A. RNAcentral's name for it is "bacterial SSU rRNA". It matches the Rfam family "Bacterial small subunit ribosomal RNA", at positions 56 to 674 of the family's 1533-position model. The record is from RNAcentral. Lineage: Bacteria; Bacillati; Actinomycetota; Actinomycetes; Micromonosporales; Micromonosporaceae.
UGCAAGUCGAGCGGAAAGGCCCUUCGGGGUACUCGAGCGGCGAACGGGUGAGUAACACGUGAGCAACCUGCCCUAGGCUUUGGGAUAACCCUCGGAAACGGGGGCUAAUACCGAAUAGGACCACCGGUCGCAUGGUUGGUGGUGGAAAGUUUUUCGGCCUGGGAUGGGCUCGCGGCCUAUCAGCUUGUUGGUGGGGUGAUGGCCUACCAAGGCGACGACGGGUAGCCGGCCUGAGAGGGCGACCGGCCACACUGGGACUGAGACACGGCCCAGACUCCUACGGGAGGCAGCAGUGGGGAAUAUUGCACAAUGGGCGGAAGCCUGAUGCAGCGACGCCGCGUGAGGGAUGACGGCCUUCGGGUUGUAAACCUCUUUCAGCAGGGACGAAGCGUAAGUGACGGUACCUGCAGAAGAAGCACCGGCCAACUACGUGCCAGCAGCCGCGGUAAGACGUAGGGUGCGAGCGUUGUCCGGAUUUAUUGGGCGUAAAGAGCUCGUAGGCGGCUUGUCGCGUCGACCGUGAAAACUUGGGGCUCAACUCCAAGCCUGCGGUCGAUACGGGCAGGCUAGAGUUCGGUAGGGGAGACUGGAAUUCCUGGU